Long non-coding RNA from Oncorhynchus tshawytscha (Chinook salmon), 430 nucleotides. The record is from Ensembl. Lineage: Eukaryota; Metazoa; Chordata; Actinopteri; Salmoniformes; Salmonidae.
GUUAGAUUGGGAGUGUCUUAUUAUCUGUGAUAUUGGGAUGUUUACGGUUGGGGGGGGUCUUAUUAUCUAUGAUAAUGGGAGGGUCUUAUUAUCUAUGAUAUUGGGAGGUUCUUGUUCGAUUGGGAGUGUCUUAUUAUCAGUGAUAUUGGGAUGUUUACGGUUGGGAGGGUCUUAUUAUCUGUGAUAUUGGGAUGUUUACGGUUGGGGGGGUCUUAUUAUCUGUGAUAUUGGGAUGUUUACGGUUGGGAGGGUCUUAUUAUAUGUACUAUAGGGAGGGUCUUAUUAUAUGUUAUAUUGAGAGGGUCUUAUUAUCUGUGAUAUUGGGAGGGUCGUAUUAUCUGUGAUAUUGAGAGGAUGUUAUUAUCUGUGAUAUUGGGAGGGUCUUAUUAUCUGUGAUAUUGGGAUGGUCGUAUUAUCUGUGAUAUUGGGA